RNAcentral lists this ribosomal RNA (180 nucleotides) under uncultured bacterium. RNAcentral describes it as "partial 16S ribosomal RNA". It matches the Rfam family "Bacterial small subunit ribosomal RNA", at positions 318 to 498 of the family's 1533-position model. The record is from RNAcentral.
GCGGGGGCACGGGGGGCCUACGGGAGGCAGCAGUAGGGAAUCUUCCMCAAUGGGCGCAAGCCUGAUGGAGCAACGCCGCGUGAGUGAGGAAGGCUUUCGGGUCGUAAAGCUMUGUUGCCAGGGAAGAAUAAGGGCGAGGUAAMUACUCGUCCGAUGACGUACCGAGAGAGACCCGWCGCC